AUACGUAGGUGGCAAGCGUUGUCCGGAUUUAUUGGGCGUUAAAGCGAGCGCAGGCGGUUCCUUAAGUCUGAUGCGAAAGCCCACGGCUUAACCGUGGAAGGUCAUUGGAAACUGGGGAACUUGAGUGCAGAAGAGGAGAGUGGAAUUCCAUGUGUAGCGGUGAAAUGCGUAGAUAUAUGGAGGAACACCAGUGGCGAAGGCGACUCUCUGGUCUGUAACUGACGCUGAGGCUCGAAAGCGUGGGGAGC
This 248-nucleotide ribosomal RNA is filed under the name uncultured bacterium. Its description in RNAcentral is "partial 16S ribosomal RNA". It matches the Rfam family "Bacterial small subunit ribosomal RNA", at positions 523 to 769 of the family's 1533-position model. The record is from RNAcentral.